RNAcentral lists this small RNA (576 nucleotides) under Pongo abelii (Sumatran orangutan). Its description in RNAcentral is "processed transcript". Lineage: Eukaryota; Metazoa; Chordata; Mammalia; Primates; Hominidae. The record is from RNAcentral.
CAGCGUGCUGUGUGCCAAGCCCAGGAGCAGCCGGAACUCCAGCAUCGAGGCCUUCGCUGUCUGUCAGGGCUAUGACCCUCCCGAGGGCUUCAUCCCGGACCUGAGCAAACCCCUGCUGGACCAUUCUUACGCUGGAUGGUCCCACCCGCAUCAUUGUGCCUUUUGUGACCUGUGGGGACCUGAGCUCCUAUGAUUCGGACCGCAGUUACCCACUGGACCUAGAGGGCAGCUCAGAGUACAAGUACACUCCACCCACACAGCCCCCCAUCUCACCACCAUACCAGGAGGCCUGCACGUUGAAGAAGAAGGGGCAGCUGGCCAAGGAGAUCCGCCCCCAGGACUGCCCCAUCAGCAGAGUGGACACGUUUUCCCAGCCCCUGGCCGCCCCUCAGUGCCACACCCUGCUGGCCCCUGAGGUCUGGAAAUGUGACUCUCAGCCUGCCUUGACCCCUUCCCCGUGUGCCUUUUUCUGACCCAAAUCUCAUGGUUUCUGGGGCCAAAAUUCCCUUUCCUGCCUCCCAAUAGCUAUAAAAAAUUGGUAAAGCCAAGCAUAAUGAAUGGAAAAGUUUUGCCAAA